UGCCUUCUCUGGCCACACAGAACAAUCCUGCUUUCUUUGUCCUGCGGUGACCAUAAGCAAUUUGUAUACCGCACCACGGAAAGAUGCUCAGUAAACUUCAGCACCUGUGGCUUGUGGUGGAGAUGCUGCUGGUGAAACUCAUGUAAAGUGAGCCUGUAGGACGCUGCGGGCGCUGCUGCAAGCGCUCUGCGUGCAUUCAUCGAGAUAAGGACUCUUACCAACCUCACGAUACAACGAGGAAACCAAGGCAGAUGCCACAGAGGCAACUGGGAUGCACCCAGACAGGAGGCUUCGGACACGAGGGGGAGACACGGAUUAUCUUGCUUGGACUGUGGGGCUGUGGGGACGGACUGUCCUGGCCCAAGGGGUAGAGGGUAUUUAUCCUCAGAAGCAUUAAAGCAGAGGGCGGAUUCCUCCCAGGGCUUUCAGUGUGAUUUAGA
Balaenoptera ricei (Rice's whale) is the source of this 440-nucleotide long non-coding RNA. RefSeq lists it as uncharacterized. The record is from RefSeq and is a predicted model, not a curated record. NCBI's taxonomy places the organism in Eukaryota, Metazoa, Chordata, Mammalia, Artiodactyla, Balaenopteridae. The transcript is spliced from 3 exons.